GGGGCAGGGAGAGAGAAAGGAAGACAUUCAUUAAAGCAGCAUGCAGACAAAUACUUGCCUUUGCAUGGUACCAUGCAAGACAUCAAACAUCACAUGCAAGCGCUCUGAUCACCUGAUCACCUGUUCACCAGAUUACAUGAUCACCUGAUCACCUGUUCACCAGAUUACAUGAUCACCUGUUCACCAGAUUACAUGAUCACCUGCUCUCCACUCCUGUAGGAGGAAAAGGUCACAGUGCUGCAGCGACGAUGGUCUUUCUCAAAUUAGCGCUCGUAGUAACUGCAUGUCAUGAGCAUAUAUAUGUUGCUGAAUUCGGGAAUGAGAUCGGUCAUAAGGUCAUAAGGUGUUUUUAGGAAAAGCUUGCAAGUUUUUAUUCUAAAACUUACACAUGGACAUAGUCGUGACGUAAGGAAAUUCCAAUGUAUGGAAGGAGUCUCCAGGGUCAGAGAAUGAGGAAAUGUUUUUUCAGCAGAAAUUAUGAAGUGCUUCUUGAUAAAGGCGUCUGCUGAAGGCUGGGAAAGUAAACGUGGAUCUAAUUUGAGCAGUGCUCCUCUGCCGUGCCUGUCCUGAGCCGAUACAGCAGUCUCUGAUUUAUCGGUAAUGGAGUGACUUACGGAAGGAAAGCGACGGCUAAGUGUCCGGCCACUCUGCUGGAAAUCGAUGUAAAGCUGCAGUCACAGACGGCAUUUGGGGCUGGAUUACGUGUGUGUGUGUGUUUCUCAUCACUUCACAGUGUCCGUAGUAUUUUCCUGACUUGAAGCUCUCUAGAACUGGACUGUAUUUUUAUUUUUUGCGGUUCUCUGCAUUUUUAAAACUGGUCACAUUAUUAAACGGUUAAAAUCUAAUCUCUCAUCAGUCUAACAAUGACUCCAUCUGCUUUGUGCUUUGUUGACAGCUGUUACAAGAAAAAAAAUAAAAUAAAAAAUGUAUUCAUAUAAUGUAUAUAUUCAGCUAAUAAUCUGAUGUUUACACACUGAAAUGUAAGGUACCUGUGUUAGUUUUACCAAAAAACUUUUUACGUAAAUGUUAUAUAAAAAUUUUAUGUUUCUCAACAAAACUUUUUUUUUUUUUUGUGAUUUUUUUGUGAUUGUUUAUAAUCAGCUUCAUUUCAACAAGUUUCUCAUGACUCGGCUGUAUGAUGUAAAGCCAUCGUGAUUAAUUCAUGGAGCAUUAACCAAAGCCACAAUCAUCCAGUGCGAAAUCUCACGAGGAUGUUGAUGAC
Tachysurus fulvidraco (yellow catfish) is the source of this 1222-nucleotide long non-coding RNA. RefSeq lists it as uncharacterized. The transcript has 3 exons. NCBI's taxonomy places the organism in Eukaryota, Metazoa, Chordata, Actinopteri, Siluriformes, Bagridae. The record is from RefSeq and is a predicted model, not a curated record.